RNAcentral lists this ribosomal RNA (1347 nucleotides) under uncultured bacterium. RNAcentral describes it as "bacterial SSU rRNA". It matches the Rfam family "Bacterial small subunit ribosomal RNA", at positions 28 to 1381 of the family's 1533-position model. The record is from RNAcentral.
GACGAACGCUGGCGGCGUGCUUAACACAUGCAAGUCGAACGGAAAGGCCCUGCUUUUGUGGGGUGCUCGAGUGGCGAACGGGUGAGUAACACGUGAGUAACCUGCCCUUGACUUUGGGAUAACUUCAGGAAACUGGGGCUAAUACCGGAUAGGAGCUCCUGCUGCAUGGUGGGGGUUGGAAAGUUUCGGCGGUUGGGGAUGGACUCGCGGCUUAUCAGCUUGUUGGCGGGGUAGUGGCUUACCAAGGCUUUGGCGGGUAGCCGGCCUGAGAGGGUGACCGGCCACAUUGGGACUGAGAUACGGCCCAGACUCCUACGGGAGGCGGCAGUGGGGAAUAUUGCACAAUGGGCGGAAGCCUGAUGCAGCAACGCCGCGUGCGGGAUGACGGCCUUCGGGUUGUAAACCGCUUUUGCCUGUGACGAAGCGUGAGUGACGGUAAUGGGUAAAGAAGCACCGGCUAACUACGUGCCAGCAGCCGCGGUGAUACGUAGGGUGCGAGCGUUGUCCGGAUUUAUUGGGCGUAAAGGGCUCGUAGGUGGUUGAUCGCGUCGGAAGUGUAAUCUUGGGGCUUAACCCUGAGCGUGCUUUCGAUACGGGUUGACUUGAGGAAGGUAGGGGAGAAUGGAAUUCCUGGUGGAGCGGUGGAAUGCGCAGAUAUCAGGAGGAACACCAGUGGCGAAGGCGGUUCUCUGGGCCUUUCCUGACGCUGAGGAGCGAAAGCGUGGGGAGCGAACAGGCUUAGAUACCCUGGUAGUCCACGCUGUAAACGGUGGGUACUAGGUGUGGGGGUCCAUUCCACGGGUUCCGUGCCGUAGCUAACGCUUUAAGUACCCCGCCUGGGGAGUACGGCCGCAAGGCUAAAACUCAAAGGAAUUGACGGGGCCCCGCACAAGCGGCGGAGCAUGCGGAUUAAUUCGAUGCAACGCGUAGAACCUUACCUGGGUUUGACAUGGAUCGGGAGUGCUCAGAGAUGGGUGUGCCUCUUUUGGGGUCGGUUCACAGGUGGUGCAUGGCUGUCGUCAGCUCGUGUCGUGAGAUGUUGGGUUAAGUCCCGCAACGAGCGCAACCCUUGUUCACUGUUGCCAGCACGUUAUGGUGGGGACUCAGUGGAGACCGCCGGGGUCAACUCGGAGGAAGGUGGGGAUGACGUCAAGUCAUCAUGCCCCUUAUGUCCAGGGCUUCACGCAUGCUACAAUGGCUGGUACAGAGAGUGGCGAGCCUGUGAGGGUGAGCGAAUCUCGGAAAGCCGGUCUCAGUUCGGAUUGGGGUCUGCAACUCGACCUCAUGAAGUCGGAGUCGCUAGUAAUCGCAGAUCAGCAACGCUGCGGUGAAUACGUUCCCGGGGCU